Molecule: long non-coding RNA, 1179 nt
Filed under: Gadus morhua (Atlantic cod)
Lineage: Eukaryota; Metazoa; Chordata; Actinopteri; Gadiformes; Gadidae
Description: lncRNA (ENSGMOG00000027131.1)
Source: RNAcentral
AUGUUGCAGGAGAUAGAACAAAAGGUGACCAGUAUGUCGGAUUCUAGCUCGGGAACCAAGAACCUGAACCUGAAACAGGACCAGGGAGUCCAGGGGGGUCUGGUCUCUGCAGGUUCUGACCAGGAGUCAGCUGAGCUUCUGGCCUCAAAACUGGAGCUUCUCAAGACCAACCUUGUUUCCUUCCAGCACCUCCUGGAGGAACGCCAUGGGGAGGAGAGGAUGACCCCUGCUCUCCAAGACCCGGGAGGGCGUGGGAUGGCCAGGUUGCAGCGCAGCGCCAGCGUUCAGGAGAUGUUCUCCUCUCCGAAGAACCAGCUGCUGCGUCAGAGCAGCGUUCAGCAGCAGAAGGAGAUGGAACUGGAGCUGAGUGAGCAGAGGGGACUGACCCGAGCCAUCGCUAGGCAACACAGCAGAGGACGCCUCCACGGCCAGGACCCAGAGGAACCAAGCUUGCCGUCGCCACGGAGAACCUCCGUCCAGUCUGCCGUAGUCGGGAUGGAGGAGGAGGAGGAGGAGCUGGGGUGGAGGAGCUGGGACCUCCUCCAGACUCAACUCCUGGCACUGGAGGAGGAGGUGUUCCGACGACCUGAGGAGGUACAGAGCCUCCUCAUUAUCUCCUACAUGUCCUGUUCUCCUCCCUCUGCUCCCUCUGUUCAUCACCCCCUCAGGAUUCUCUCUCCCUCUUUCUCUCUCUCUCGCUCUCUCUCUCUCUUUAUCUCUCUUUAUCUCUCUCUCUCUUUCUCUCUCUCUCUCUCUCUCCCUCCCUCUCUCUCCCUCUCUCUGUCUCUCUCUCUCUCUCUCUCUCUCUCUCUCGCUCUCUCUCUUUUUCUCUCUCUCUUCUUUAUCUCUCUCUCUCUAUCUCUCUCUCUCUCUCUCUCUCUCUCUCUCUCUCUCUCUCUCUCUCUCUCUCUCUCUCUCUCUCUCUCUCUCUCUCUCUCUCUCUGUCUCUCUCUCUCUCUAUUCAUCUCUCUUUAUCUCUCUCUAUCUCCCUCCAUCUCUCUCUCUCUCUCUCUCCCUCCCUCUCUCUCUCUUUCUCUCUCUCUCUCUCCGUCUCUCUCGCUCUUUCUCUCUCUUCACUACGGACCUUCUGUCUCUAUCUGUCUGUCUGUCUGUCUGUCUGUCUGUCUGUCUGUCUGUCUGUCUGUCUGUCUGUCUGUCUGUCUGUCUGUCCCUCUCUGA